This 253-nucleotide ribosomal RNA is filed under the name uncultured bacterium. RNAcentral describes it as "partial 16S ribosomal RNA". It matches the Rfam family "Bacterial small subunit ribosomal RNA", at positions 524 to 776 of the family's 1533-position model. The record is from RNAcentral.
UACAGAGGGGGCCAGCGUUAUUCGGAAUUAUUGGGCGUAAAGGGCGCGUAGGCGGCCACGCGUGUCUUCCGUGAAAUCCCUCGGCUCAACCGAGGAAGUGCAUCCGAAACUGCGAGGCUCGAGUAUGGAAGAGGGUCGCAGAAUUCCCGGUGUAGAGGUGAAAUUCGUAGAUAUCGGGAGGAAUACCAGUGGCGAAGGCGGCGACCUGGGCCAAUACUGACACUGAGGAGCGAAAGCCAGGGGAGCAAACGGG